CCCUUAGAUGUUCUGGGCCGCACGCGCGCUACACUGACGGAGGCAGCGAGCGUGUCCUUCGCCGGCAGGUGCGGGCAAUCUUGCGAGUCUCCGUCGUGCUGGGGAUAGAUGGUUGCAAUUGUCGAUCUUGAACGAGGAAUUCCUAGUAAGCGCGAGUCAUCAGCUCGCGCUGAUUACGUCCCUGCCCUUUGUACACACCGCCCGUCGCUACUACAGAGUGCCCGUGUCCAAGAAACGGUCGGACCUGUGCGGCCUCUCCGGGCGACCGGAGGACCGUUACGGGGAAGACCCUUUAUUUGACGCGGGUCGAUGAAGUAAAAGUCGUAACA
Molecule: ribosomal RNA, 329 nt
Filed under: uncultured eukaryote
Lineage: Eukaryota
Description: partial 18S ribosomal RNA
Rfam family: Eukaryotic small subunit ribosomal RNA
Source: RNAcentral